This 425-nucleotide ribosomal RNA is filed under the name uncultured bacterium. Its description in RNAcentral is "partial 16S ribosomal RNA". It matches the Rfam family "Bacterial small subunit ribosomal RNA", at positions 354 to 796 of the family's 1533-position model. The record is from RNAcentral.
GUGGGGAAUCUUGCGCAAUGGGCGAAAGCCUGACGCAGCCAUGCCGCGUGAAUGAUGAAGGUCUUAGGAUUGUAAAAUUCUUUCACCGGGGACGAUAAUGACGGUACCCGGAGAAGAAGCCCCGGCUAACUUCGUGCCAGCAGCCGCGGUAAUACGAAGGGGGCUAGCGUUGCUCGGAAUUAAUGGGCGUAAAGGGCGCGUAGGCGGACAGUUUAGUCAGAGGUGAAAGCCCAGGGCUCAACCUUGGAAUUGCCUUUGAUCUUGGCUGUCUUGAGUACGGGAGAGGUGAGUGGAACUCCGAGUGUAGAGGUGAAAUUCGUAGAUAUUCGGAAGAACACCAGUGGCGAAGGCGACUCACUGGCACGUUACUGACGCUGAGGCGCGAAAGCGUGGGCAGCAAACAGGAUUAGAACCCCCGGUAGUCC